Molecule: ribosomal RNA, 106 nt
Filed under: Candidatus Loosdrechtia aerotolerans
Lineage: Bacteria; Pseudomonadati; Planctomycetota; Candidatus Brocadiia; Candidatus Brocadiales; Candidatus Brocadiaceae
Source: RNAcentral
GGCCAUAGUGGGAGGGAAACACCCGUUCCCAUUCCGAACACGGCAGUUAAGACUCCCUAUGCCAAUGGUACUGGCCAAAAGCCGGGAGAGUAGGUCACCGCCGGAU